Molecule: ribosomal RNA, 498 nt
Filed under: uncultured bacterium
Lineage: Bacteria
Description: partial 16S ribosomal RNA
Rfam family: Bacterial small subunit ribosomal RNA
Source: RNAcentral
GAUGAACGCUAGCGGCAGGCCUAAUACAUGCAAGUCGAACGAUAGUGAGAAGCUUGCUUCUCACGAAAGUGGCGCACGGGUGCGUAACGCGUAUGCAACCUACCUUAAUCAGGGGGAUAGCCCGAAGAAAUACGGAUUAACACCGCAUAAAAUCACAGUACAGCAUUAUACAAUGAUCAAAUAUUUAUAGGAUUAAGAUGGGCAUGCGUGACAUUAGUUAGUUGGCGGGGUAACGGCCCACCAAGACCACGAUGUCUAGGUGAUCUGAGAGGAUGACCCCCCACACUGGUACUGAGACACGGACCAGGCUCCUAGGGGAGGCAGCAGUAAGGAAUAUUAGUCAAUGGAGGCAACGCUGAACCAGCCAUGCCGCGUGCAGGAAGACAGCCCUCUGGGUCGUAAACUGCUUUUAUUCGGGAAUAAACCUAUCUACGUGUAGAUAGCUGAAUGUACCGAAGGAAUAAGGAUCGGCUAACUCCGUGCCAGCCGCCGCCGUAA